This 360-nucleotide long non-coding RNA is filed under the name Pan troglodytes (chimpanzee). RNAcentral describes it as "long non-coding RNA NONPTRT006885". Lineage: Eukaryota; Metazoa; Chordata; Mammalia; Primates; Hominidae. The record is from RNAcentral.
GGAGCAGCAGGCCUGGCUCCUGCCCAGGAGGCACCUGGCCUAGAUCUCAGCGUCACUGAGGAGUUAACCAAGGGAAGCGGCACCAGCAUCACACCCUGUUCCAGCCAACAGUCUCCAGCGUCCCUGACAGAUGUCGGGAAGUUCUUUUCCCCGUAAGAUCCCGGAGAAUGUCCUGAGGCUGCCUUGUGGAAGCUCUGGGGCCUUUCUCGUCUCCCACUGCCAGCUUAAUGAGCUGUGCUGGUAGCAACAGAUGGCGCCCCGCAGGGUCUCACUUGGAUAGCUUGGAAAGUUCCUGGACACCAGUUGGACUUGCCGCGAAAACCAUUAAUCUUGGCCUUUCAGAGAAAAUCUUCAGAAGAA